Long non-coding RNA from Mesocricetus auratus (golden hamster), 711 nucleotides. RefSeq lists it as uncharacterized. The transcript has 3 exons. The record is from RefSeq and is a predicted model, not a curated record. Lineage: Eukaryota; Metazoa; Chordata; Mammalia; Rodentia; Cricetidae.
ACUCAGGUCAAAGCUGAGUUAAUGAGAUCGGUGGCACCUGGGGGAGGUGCCAGAUCCUCCCUAAAUCUCACUUCCUGGGUGUGCCUCUGGUCUCUCACAGACAAGACAGGUUGGCUCCAAGCUGGGCCACCUGCUGACCUCAUCCCUGGAAGCCAUCCCAGGCUGGAUCCUUUCCUCCCCACUUUGGAAAGCUGGCACGUGGCUGGGUGGCCUGGCUGCCACUGGCUCCGCUGCUGCUCUUGGGAGGGCAGAGGCUCCCCUCAGCCUGGUCCAGGCCCCUGUUCUCCCUAGUUGCCAUCCUUCGGUAUCCUGUUGUUCCCUGGGUGGUCCCUGGACCAGCUGGCCUGUCCUCUUGGUAAUGAUGCAGGAUCCAGGAAGGGGCUUGGUUUGCAUCACAGCUUCAAAGAUUCAGAGUUGGAACAGAUCCCAGUUAGUUCAGAUUCUCUGCCCCCGGAAAGACCACACAGAGUCCUGGGCUCCACCCUGCAGCUCUUGUCUUCAUUCCACCACUACUAAAGUCAUUCUCUGUUUCCACCACUGGAGUGUCAGCUCUGCAAGAUCAGCGACAGGGCCUUCUGCAUCACCAAACCCUCUGCUGCAUCAGUGGUGUAGAAUCGAUACGUGAACGGAUAGUUUAUGCUUCAGAGAGGGUGUGAAGGGCAAAUAUCUAGAAUGUAUAAAGAACCACAAAAAUUAAACACGUUCCCCAAA